UGAGGGAUUCAUGUCAUGGAGACUGCGGCAGAAAGCGGCGACCUGCUCUGUGCUCUUUAAAGGAAAAAAGGAAGACAAAAGAGACAGGGAGAUGAGCCUUGUAUCAUCGCAGACCAGAGGCAGCAGCAGGUGUGGUACGUUUGAUAAAAAAUAAUAGAGCUUGUUUUUUGGGUGGUUGUGGUGGUGUGUGUGUGUGUGUGUGUUUUUUUUUUUUUUGGGUAGUGGGUUCAUGUAGUGCUUUUAGUUUUCCUAACGAUGCUGUUUAAAUCUUUUAUUAUUAUUAUUAUUAUUAUUUUUGAUCACAGGCACAUGGAAUUGUUCAACUGUGUCUAAAUAACAAAAAUAAAGAAGCCAUCAGCAGUUUAGAAGAGCCUAUUAAUCCAAGAUGAAAUAAGUAGAUGUGUUUUAGGAUCUCUAGUUCAGAGCUCAUCAUCACACACAAGAGGAGUGUUAUAAUUGCCUCUGACUGCCACCUUCUGCCUGUGCUUCAGAUCCAACUAAUUAUCCCCUGCUUAGUUUUGUUCUUUAAGGCGUCUGUGACCAUAAGAAAGAAAGAAAAAU
Molecule: long non-coding RNA, 561 nt
Organism: Poecilia latipinna (sailfin molly)
Lineage: Eukaryota; Metazoa; Chordata; Actinopteri; Cyprinodontiformes; Poeciliidae
Exons: 2
Source: RefSeq, a predicted model, not a curated record